Molecule: long non-coding RNA, 1067 nt
Filed under: Medicago truncatula (barrel medic)
Lineage: Eukaryota; Viridiplantae; Streptophyta; Magnoliopsida; Fabales; Fabaceae
Description: long non-coding RNA (MTRU_LNC005234)
Source: RNAcentral
UGGAAAAGACUUAGCAACAGUAUUUACAUUGUUACACUGAGAAGGUAAAUUGAAAUUGGGAACAUAUGAACUAUUAUGAUAAGUGCUAUUAAGCUUAUUACAUGAAGAAUUGCCUAUGUGUAAGCUAGAACUUGACUCUAAAGAGGGACUAGCUUGAACAACUUUAUUGCAGAGAACUUGGACACUUGAGUUGGUAGUGGUGGGCUUGGACAAAGAUGCUUGAUCAAACUGGUACAAGCCAUCCUUUCCAAGAGAGCCUUGUAAGAGAAUUUUAGAAGAAACCUAAGAUUUUACAAAACACAUAUCAGGAUGAAACUCAAAGAAAACUUUGUUGUCUUUAGCAAACUGACUGACACUAACAAGGUUUUUAGUUAUUGAAGGCACAAGAAGAAGAUUUUUAAGCUUAAGAGUGGUGUGUGGUUCAAAGGGAGAGGUAAAGUGCAUAGAGCCAAUAGAAGUAAUAGGCAGACCUUGACCAUUUCCCACAUGAACUUGAUCAGUUCCAAAGAAAGAUGCUGAAUCCAUUAGGUUAGAGGCAUCAGGAGUGACAUGAUUGGUUGCUCCAGAGUCUGGAUACCACACACAUUAGGGAAAGUAGUGUUGGUAUCAAUACCAGUUAGGUAAGCUUGAGGAACCUGUGGCCUCUGAUUUCCAGAAGGAUAUUGAGCUCUGUAAGGAUUGUUGACCAUAGAAGCACGCUGCAUUCCUUGCAUCCACACAUUGGGAGGUGUUCCAAGAAUACCAUUAGAGGCACCAUAGAAACCAGGAGUACCAUAUCCUUCAUAAGUAGGUGGAACAGAGAGGCGAUGGUAACAAAUAGAAGCAUCAUGUCCAGUUUUGUGACAUAUCUGACACUGAAUGUAGGCACGAGGUCCACCACCACGGCCACCACGGCCUCUAAAACGACCACCACGAGGUCCUCUGCCUCUGAAAUAGCCACCUCUACCUCCAGAGUUACCAUACUGUUCAUUACCAUAAGGAGUAGUAUACUGAGUAUUACCAUAAGAGUUACCAUUAGAAUUCCCAUCAGAGAAGUGUUGCUGAGUAGGAGAAGGCUGAGUUUGGCU